RNAcentral lists this long non-coding RNA (1433 nucleotides) under Macaca fascicularis (crab-eating macaque). Its description in RNAcentral is "lncRNA (ENSMFAG00000063731.1)". Lineage: Eukaryota; Metazoa; Chordata; Mammalia; Primates; Cercopithecidae. The record is from RNAcentral.
UACAGGCACGUGCCGCCAUUCCCAGCUAAUUUUUGUAUUUUUAGUAGAGACGGGGUUUCACCAUGCUGGCCAGGCUGGUCUCGAACUCCUGACCUAAUGAUUUGCCCCCUUUGGCCUCCCAAAGUGCUGGGAUUACAGGCAUGAGCAAUUGUGCCCCGCAGAAAUUAUAUAAUUCUUAACCAUGAAAAACUAAACAUUAGACUCUGAAUUCAAAAUGAUCCCACCAAAGAAGUCCUAUCUCACUCUACCUGAUAACUCUUAACCUCAGAGUGUCAGUCUCCACUGUGGCCACCUUUGGACUGACCCAUCUUCCCCAGCUCUCAGAAUUUCCUUGCUUCUCACAGCUUGUUCACAUGCACUAAUGAAUGCGUGUAUAACUGGUGAGUUCUGAACAGACUCUCUGGAUUGUACUGAUAAAAGGUAAUUUUCAGAAAAGGGCAAAAUCAUUACUCUCAUAUGAAUGUAAAAAAGAGUAUGUGUUAAAGAAUUGGUUAAACUAAGAUGAUAUGAGAUCAUCAGGCAGAUGUUAUAAAAGGCUCAAAGGAAACAUCAAGAAUCAUCAAUGUAUAUACAGUAAAGAUAGCAAAUUGCAAAUGGAGACAAAACUGGUUUUUCCAAGGGGGACUGGGGAGAAAGUAAAUUGGAAAUCUACAGGACAAGAUAGAGUUUGCAUAUUGACAAUGUCCAACUUUACCUGAGUCCUGUGUUCCCAGAAAACAGCAAUGGUUAAGAAAUCCCCCAACCCUUUUGUGCUCUGGGAAAUGGCUUACUACAAAGAACCACUCUUUCCCAUAUAACUUAGACAAGACUCUGUCCAUUCUUCCUCACAGUUCCCAUAGGACUCACAGGUGACUCCCUUGUCCUGUGAUAAGGCCAAACACAGCCUUUUCCCGUUUUGCCUGAACCUGCCAACAAGACCAGACACAGACCCUCCAACUCCCCAUUCUUUGUCACAUGAAUGAUUAGCUGAGAUUAGGAUGACUCAUCCCCUGAAACAAGUUAGACAUAGAGGUAAAUAUUUCCUGUUCAGCUAACUGGCCAAGACUUCCUCUGAUUGCAAAACAACCCCAACAGUAAAUCACCCCACCAAUAACUUGUCUGCUCCUCCCUAUAAAAAUCUAAGACAAGGCCGGGCGUGGUGGCUCACGCCUGUAAUCCCAGCACUUUGGGAGGCUGAGGUGGGCGGAUCACGAGAGGUCAGGAGAUCGAGGCCAUCCUGGCUAACACUGUGAAACCCCAUCUCUACUAAAAAAUACAAAACAAAAUUAGCCAGGCGUGGUGGCAGGCGCCUGUAGUCCCAGCUACUCGGGAGGCUGAGGCAGGAGAAUGCCGUGAACCCGGGAGGCGGAGCUUGCAGUGAGCCGAGAUCGGGCCACAGCACUCCAGCCUGGGCGACAGAGCGAGACUCUGUCUCAAAAAAAAAAAAAAAAAAA